GAUGAAGAACGCAGCGAAAUGCGAUAAGUAAUGUGAAUUGCAGAAUUCAGUGAAUCAUCAAAUCUUUGAACGCACAUUGCGCCCGCUAGUAUUCUGGCGGGCAUGCCUGUUCGAGCGUCAUUUCAACCAUCAAGCCCUGUUUAGGCUUGUGUUGGGGCCCUGCGGCUGCCGCAGCCCCCUAAAUGCAGUGGCGGGCUCGUUGUCACUCCGAGCGCAGUAGCGUAUCUCGCUCUGGGCGUGGCGGCGGGUGCUAGCCGUGAAACACCCACUAAGGUUGACCUCGGAUCAGGUAGGAAUACCCGCUGAACUUAAGCAUAUCAUAAGCGGAGGA
Molecule: unclassified non-coding RNA, 331 nt
Filed under: soil metagenome
Description: partial contains 5.8S ribosomal RNA, internal transcribed spacer 2, and large subunit ribosomal RNA
Rfam family: 5.8S ribosomal RNA (bases 1-120)
Source: RNAcentral